This 1231-nucleotide ribosomal RNA is filed under the name uncultured bacterium. Its description in RNAcentral is "partial 16S ribosomal RNA". It matches the Rfam family "Bacterial small subunit ribosomal RNA", at positions 147 to 1335 of the family's 1533-position model. The record is from RNAcentral.
CAGUUGGAACGACUGCUAAUACCGCAUAAUGUCUACGGACCAAAGGCGCCGCUUCGGCUCUCGCCUUUAGAUUGGCCCAAGUGGGAUUAGCUAGUUGGUGAGGUAAUGGCUCACCAAGGCGACGAUCCCUAGCUGGUUUGAGAGGAUGAUCAGCCACACUGGGACUGAGACACGGCCCAGACUCCUACGGGAGGCAGCAGUGGGGAAUAUUGCACAAUGGGCGCAAGCCUGAUGCAGCCAUGCCGCGUGUGUGAAGAAGGCCUUCGGGUUGUAAAGCACUUUCAGUCAGGAGGAAAGGUUAGUAGUUAAUACCUGCUAGCUGUGACGUUACUGACAGAAGAAGCACCGGCUAACUCCGUGCCAGCAGCCGCGGUAAUACGGAGGGUGCGAGCGUUAAUCGGAAUUACUGGGCGUAAAGCGUACGCAGGCGGUUUGUUAAGCGAGAUGUGAAAGCCCCGGGCUCAACCUGGGAACUGCAUUUCGAACUGGCAAACUAGAGUGUGAUAGAGGGUGGUAGAAUUUCAGGUGUAGCGGUGAAAUGCGUAGAGAUCUGAANGGNNANAUACCGANUGGNCGAAGGCAGCCACCUGGGUCAACACUGACGCUCAUGUACGAAAGCGUGGGGAGCAAACGGGNAUUAGAUACCCUGGUAGUCCACGCCGUAAACGAUGUCAACUAGCCGUUGGGUCCCUUGAGGACUUAGUGGCGCAGCUAACGCAAUAAGUUGACCGCCUGGGGAGUACGGCCGCAAGGUUAAAACUCAAAUGAAUUGACGGGGGCCCGCNACAAGCGGUGGAGCAUGUGGUUUAAUUCGAUGCAACGCGAAGAACCUUACCUNACCCUUGNACAUCCAGAGGANCUUUCCAGANGAUGGANUUGGUGNCCUUNCGGGAACUCUGAGANNCAGGNUGCNUGCNAUNGGCNUGNUCGUCNAGCUCNGUGUUGNUGNAAAUGUUGGGNUUAAGUNCCCGUAANCGAGNCNGCNAACCCCUNNAUNCNCNUUAUNUUNGNCCAGCGAGUAAUGUCGGGAACUCUAAGGAGACUGCCGGUGACAAACCGGAGGAAGGUGGGGACGACGUCAAGUCAUCAUGGCCCUUACGGGUAGGGCUACACACGUGCUACAAUGGCAAGUACAAAAGGGUUGCAAUACUGCGAAGUGGAGCCAAUCCCAUAAAGCUUGCCUCAGUCCGGAUUGGAGUCUGCAACUCGACUCCAUGAAAGUCGGAAUCGC